GAUGAAGAACGCAGCGAAAUGCGAUAAGUAAUGUGAAUUGCAGAAUUCAGUGAAUCAUCGAAUCUUUGAACGCACCUUGCGCCCUUUGGCCAUUCCGAAGGGCAUGCCUGUUUGAGUAUCAUGAACACCUCAACUCUUCAUGGUUUUCCAUGAUGAGCUUGGACUUUGGGGGUCUUGCUGGCCUGUGGGUCGGCUCCUCUCAAAUGAAUCAGCUUGCCGGUUUUUGGUGGGCAUCACAGGUGUGAUAACUAUCUACGCUUGUGGUUUUCCACCAGGGUAACCUUCAGCAGUGGAGGUUCACUGGAGCUCAUAGAUGUCUCUCCUCAGUGAGGACAGCCCUUUGAAUGUUUGAUCUCAAAUCAGGUAGGACUACCCGCUGAACUUAAGCAUAUCAAUAAGCGGAGGA
RNAcentral lists this unclassified non-coding RNA (406 nucleotides) under soil metagenome. Its description in RNAcentral is "partial contains 5.8S ribosomal RNA, internal transcribed spacer 2, and large subunit ribosomal RNA". The stretch from base 1 to 121 matches the Rfam family "5.8S ribosomal RNA", at positions 35 to 154 of the family's 154-position model. The record is from RNAcentral.